RNAcentral lists this ribosomal RNA (253 nucleotides) under uncultured bacterium. RNAcentral's name for it is "partial 16S ribosomal RNA". It matches the Rfam family "Bacterial small subunit ribosomal RNA", at positions 524 to 776 of the family's 1533-position model. The record is from RNAcentral.
UACGGGGGGAGCAAGCGUUGCUCGGAAUUACUGGGCGUAAAGCGCACGUAGGCGGAUUCUUAAGUCAGGGGUGAAAUCCUGGAGCUCAACUCCAGAACUGCCUUUGAUACUGAGGACCUUGAGUUCGGGAGAGGUGAGUGGAACUGCGAGUGUAGAGGUGAAAUUCGUAGAUAUUCGCAAGAACACCAGUGGCGAAGGCGGCUCACUGGCCCGAUACUGACGCUGAGGUGCGAAAGCGUGGGGAGCAAACAGG